UACGGGGGGGGCAAGCGUUGUUCGGAAUUACUGGGCGUAAAGGGCUCGUAGGCGGCCAACUAAGUCAGACGUGAAAUCCCUCGGCUUAACCGGGGAACUUCCUCUGAUACUGGACGGCUUGAGUUCGGGAGAGGGAUGCGGAAUUCCAGGUGUAGCGGUGAAAUGCGUAGAUAUCUGGAGGAACACCGGUGGCGAAGGCGGCAUCCUGGACCGACACUGACGCUGAGGAGCGAAAGCCAGGGGAGCAAACGGG
RNAcentral lists this ribosomal RNA (253 nucleotides) under uncultured bacterium. RNAcentral describes it as "partial 16S ribosomal RNA". It matches the Rfam family "Bacterial small subunit ribosomal RNA", at positions 524 to 776 of the family's 1533-position model. The record is from RNAcentral.